Molecule: long non-coding RNA, 649 nt
Organism: Melanotaenia boesemani (Boeseman's rainbowfish)
Lineage: Eukaryota; Metazoa; Chordata; Actinopteri; Atheriniformes; Melanotaeniidae
Exons: 3
Source: RefSeq, a predicted model, not a curated record
UCUGAAAGGGAGCCACCUUAUAGACUCAACUACAGGCAGGUUUUCUAAAGUAGCAGCUAGGACAAUCUGGGCACAAUUACACCCACUUUAAUUUCAUAAUGAAUGUUUUUUCCAAAGGACAGAUGUAAUUUUGACUGACCUUCCAGGCUGAUAUGAUUGCUAACGUCUGCCUGGAUCUUACUGAGUGUUUACCCACAGCGUAAUGUGGUGUUUAAAGUCAUCUCGGUGUGUCGCAUUUCAGCUCUGCCCUAGUUUAACUGUGACUUGCUGCACCUUAUAGUCCAGAAGUCAGAUUAGUUUGUAUCAGUGAAUCCAUGAAUAAAAGUAGAACUGGAUAACUUUGAUUGAUCUAGGGGCUUAUUGACACAGUUGCUCGACAGGAAAGGAAGUCAGAGACAGAAGAGGCCACCUACAACUAAGGGGCUCCAGACCAGGAUUCGAACCCGCUUCAGCUGCAUCAUCCAGCUGUAGUCUCUACGAGCCGUCUGCUAAACCAGACAGCACCCAGCUGCAGCUCAAACACUCGCAGAGUUUUCGCUCCUCAUUUGUGAUGCUUCACCAAGAACAGUGGCGCCUUUUUCAUUUUUUUUAGAGACACGUAGGCUAGCGUUUCUUUAUUUCUUGAACAACUUUAGUGUUUCUGUUGAUC